UCACUACUUGCGUAGGCAGUCGAUCCAGAGUUCCCGACAUUACUCGAUGGUAACUGAAUCCAGGGGUUGCGCUCGUUGCUGGACUUAACCAAACACCUCACGGCACGAGCUGACGACAGCCAUGCAGCACCUGUAAUCCCCCCCUUGCGGGUACCAGGCUUUCGCCAGUUUAGAGAUCCUUUCAAGCCUAGGUAAGGUUCUUCGCGUUGCAUCGAAUUAAACCACAUGCUCCACUGCUUGUGCGGGCCCCCGUCAAUUCUUUUGAGUUUUAGCCUUGCGGCCGUACUCCCCAGGCGGAACACUUAUCGCGUUGGCUUCGGCACGGACAGAUUCGACUCCGCCCACACCUAGUGUUCAUCGUUUACGGCGUGGACUAC
Molecule: unclassified non-coding RNA, 377 nt
Filed under: uncultured bacterium
Lineage: Bacteria
Description: contains 16S-23S intergenic spacer region
Source: RNAcentral